Molecule: small nuclear RNA, 102 nt
Organism: Panicum virgatum (switchgrass)
Lineage: Eukaryota; Viridiplantae; Streptophyta; Magnoliopsida; Poales; Poaceae
Source: RefSeq, a predicted model, not a curated record
GUCUCUUCGGAGACAUCCAAUAAAAUUGGAACGGUAAAGAAAAAAUUAGCCUAACCCCUUUUUCGCAAGGAUGAUAUAAGAAAAGAAUAUUAAAAUACUAUU